GACGAACGCUGGCGGCGUGCUUAACACAUGCAAGUCGAACGAUGAAGCCGGAGCUUGCUCUGGUGAAUUAGUGGCGAACGGGUGAGUAACACGUGAGUAACCUGCCCUUGACUCUGGGAUAACUGCGGGAAACUGUAGCUAAUACCGGAUACGACCCUCGGAGGCAUCUCCUGGGGGUGGAAAGAAUUUCGGUCAAGGAUGGACUCGCGGCCGAUCAGCUAGUUGGUGAGGUAAAGGCUCACCAAGGCGACGACGGGUAGCCGGCCUGAGAGGGUGACCGGCCACACUGGGACUGAGAUACGGCCCAGACUCCUACGGGAGGCAGCAGUGGGGAAUAUUGCACAAUGGGCGCAAGCCUGAUGCAGCGACGCCGCGUGAGGGAUGACGGCCUUCGGGUUGUAAACCUCUUUCAGCACCGACGAAGCGCAAGUGACGGUAGGUGCAGAAGAAGGACCGGCCAACUACGUGCCAGCAGCCGCCGUAA
Molecule: ribosomal RNA, 484 nt
Filed under: uncultured bacterium
Lineage: Bacteria
Description: partial 16S ribosomal RNA
Rfam family: Bacterial small subunit ribosomal RNA
Source: RNAcentral